RNAcentral lists this long non-coding RNA (389 nucleotides) under Spirodela polyrhiza (greater duckweed). RNAcentral describes it as "long non-coding RNA (SPOL_LNC001757)". Lineage: Eukaryota; Viridiplantae; Streptophyta; Magnoliopsida; Alismatales; Araceae. The record is from RNAcentral.
GAUGGCUUCCGAACUUCCGGCCAGAACAGCUUCAGAAAUUGAGUCCCAUCGAGAGAGCCCGAGUUGCAGGCUGAACCAUCAAACCCUAACUUCGGAAACUGAUCCGCCCCCUGCUGAUUGAAACAACGACGGCCAAACUAGCCGCAUUUUCACGGAAGAGGCGGCGAUCCAACGAUUCGUCUCCAAAACGCAACCUACAGCGCAGCAGACAAACCAAUCAGUUUCUCGAACCAGACCAGAUAUUCUCACCAGAACAGAUCAAACAAACGAAUGCCCCGCCCUCAAUAGCCCCCACAGCACAUAUUACAACGAUCAGCCAAGAGUUCGAUGACCACAGGUAUAAAAUCCCGACAACGCUUCAACUCCAGAAGAAUGAACAAGAGAGAAGA